Molecule: ribosomal RNA, 374 nt
Filed under: uncultured organism
Description: bacterial SSU rRNA
Rfam family: Bacterial small subunit ribosomal RNA
Source: RNAcentral
CGGGGGGAGCAAGCGUUGUUCGGAUUUACUGGGCGUAAAGGGCGCGUAGGCGGCCACCGCAAGUCGACUGUGAAAUCUCCGGGCUUAACCCGGAAAGGUCAGCCGAUACUGCGGGGCUAGAGUGCGGAAGGGGCAACUGGAAUUCUCGGUGUAGCGGUGAAAUGCGUAGAUAUCGAGAGGAACACCUGCGGCGAAGGCGGGUUGCUGGGCUGACACUGACGCUGAUGCGCGAAAGCUAGGGGAGCGAACGGGAUUAGAUACCCCGGUAGUCCUAGCCUUAAACGAUGAAUGCUUGGUGUCUGGGGUUUUAUAGACCCCGGGUGCCGUCGCUAACGCUUUAAGCAUUCCGCCUGAGGAGUACGGUCGCAAGACUG